RNAcentral lists this ribosomal RNA (512 nucleotides) under uncultured bacterium. RNAcentral's name for it is "bacterial SSU rRNA". It matches the Rfam family "Bacterial small subunit ribosomal RNA", at positions 28 to 518 of the family's 1533-position model. The record is from RNAcentral.
AACGAACGCUGGCAGCGUGGAUUAGGCAUGCAAGUCGGACGGGAUCCGGCGGAUAGCAAUAUUCGCUGGUGAGAGUGGCGGAUUGGGGAGGAGCACGUGAGCAACCUGCCCUGGAGAUGUGGAAAACCUCGGGAAACUGAGGCUAAUACAGAAUGUGGCGCCCCGCGGCAUCGCGGGAGCGCCGAAGGGGGCCGCAAGGCUCCCGCUCCGGGAUGGGCUCGCGCACCAUCAGCUAGUUGGCGGGGUAACGGCCCACCAAGGCCUACGGUUAGCUGGUCUGAGAGGAUGACCAGCCCCACUGGGACUGAGAUACUGCCCAGACUCCUACGGGAGGCUGCAGUCGAGGAUCAUUCGCAAUGGGCGAAAGCCUGACGAUGCGACGCUGCGUGGAAGGAUGAAGGCCUUCGGGUCGUAAACUCCUGUCAUGGGGGAAGAGGCGAGGGAAGCUAACACCUUCCUUAGUUGACUGUACCCCAAGAGGAAGCGACGGCUAACUCUGUGCCAGCAGCGGC